RNAcentral lists this ribosomal RNA (390 nucleotides) under Lacticaseibacillus casei. RNAcentral describes it as "bacterial SSU rRNA". It matches the Rfam family "Bacterial small subunit ribosomal RNA", at positions 87 to 471 of the family's 1533-position model. The record is from RNAcentral. Lineage: Bacteria; Bacillati; Bacillota; Bacilli; Lactobacillales; Lactobacillaceae.
UGGAACGAGUGGCGGACGGGUGAGUAACACGUGGGUAACCUGCCCUUAAGUGGGGGAUAACAUUUGGAAACAGAUGCUAAUACCGCAUAGAUCCAAGAACCGCAUGGUUCUUGGCUGAAAGAUGGCGUAAGCUAUCGCUUUUGGAUGGACCCGCGGCGUAUUAGCUAGUUGGUGAGGUAAUGGCUCACCAAGGCGAUGAUACGUAGCCGAACUGAGAGGUUGAUCGGCCACAUUGGGACUGAGACACGGCCCAAACUCCUACGGGAGGCAGCAGUAGGGAAUCUUCCACAAUGGACGCAAGUCUGAUGGAGCAACGCCGCGUGAGUGAAGAAGGCUUUCGGGUCGUAAAACUCUGUUGUUGGAGAAGAAUGGUCGGCAGAGUAACUGUUG